AGCUGGCUAGCUAGCAGUGUUGUUUAAAGUUAAAGUUUGGAGUGGAUUGAAGCUGAACCACUAUCAGAAUUGAACCAUAAAGGAGUGAUCACUUGUGAAUGGAGUGUUUUUCUCCCACUUGAGAGGGGAGAGUUUUUUUCCCUCUCACCUUAGUGUGGAGUGCUUUCCUAGAGAGAUUGUUUUUAUGGAGUAACAACCGAACCUAUAGUGGAGAUUUCGUACGGACUGCUCUCUGGUAUACAUUCCCCUUCCUCCCUCCCCUAAUUUUUUUUAGGGGUUGAGGCCUGUAUGAGGCUUAAUUGCCAUUUCUGGAGCAACCACCAGAUGGCAACAGACAAGGACUUGUUGUAGGAGAAAAUUAGUUCAAAUCAAAUUUCAAAUUUUUCCCCCGCUCCUCUCCUUACCAGAAAGGUGUUUAUGUCGGCGUGAUGCGUGGAGAAACCCGUUGGCUGCACCGCUUCGGAUAGCGUCUCUCCAGUGAGCCAUGUUUCCGUGAAGCACAGAACGUUAGUCUCUGAUGUCCCUCUGGAAUGCUACCCUUGCUCGGAUUUCAUCAACCUUGUUGUCAAGAGACUGGACAUUGGCAAGAAGAAUGCUAGGGAGUGGUGCACGGUGUGCCCGUCUCCGGAGUCUGACCAGAAGACCGCCUCAUUUCCCUCUUUUUCGGAGUUGUUUUUUUGGGUCGCUGCAUGUGAUCCAUUCCGUUGUCCUGUUCUGUUCCUGUCCAGAACACAAGAUCCGCGUUGCGAAAAACAUAUUCUUGGUCGUACUGAUGGUGAGUUGACGCUGAUCUUAUAUUCAGUAGUUCUUCUCGACUGUAUGUAAUGAAACCUAAGAUGACCUGGGGUACUAAUGUAAGAAAUAACACGUAAAAAAACAAAAAACUGCAUAGUUUCCUAGGAACGCGAAGCGAGGCGGCCAUCUCUGUCGGCGCCGGAAGAUCUACGGAUAGUUCCCUGGACUUGGUAUAGUUUCUUCUUUUGGGUUUCCCAGCAAGGGUUCUGGCUAUUGGGUCUUUACCAUGGCAGUGCCAGUACACAACCGUUUCCAGGCUCUAGUUAACCUACAUGAUCAGGCAGGUAUGGUAAGACAGGUGAAUAAAUUGGCGGCCUUUAUUAAACCCUCCUCGCCCAACAGACUCUGGCAAAGGCUAAUUCCAGUUAUGUGGCUGCAGUGACUAGCAAGUCACCGACUGGCAGGGCCUUAAUGGGAGCCAAGGCCCAUAGGGACUCUGGAAUAUGCAGGAAUACUCCAGGGGGAUCGAGUGACAACUCGGCCCUGCAAAGAGUGGAGGGACUAGCUUCAGACUUACCCCAACAAUCAAGAAGAGCAAGGAGAUAUCUAAUCCCCAAACUCAACGACCAAGAGAGAAUCUGGCCCCACCUAAAGUCCCAGCCUUGAUAAUCCCAGGUUCACAACAAGGUAACCAGCAGGGUAUGGUAGCAAUGGAAAACGGAAAAGAAACGGAACCUGGGACAGAACUAAUACUGGAACCUGUAAAAAGGGAUACACUUCUUUAUCCCACAUGUCAUUCUAGAACUGAAAGGAAAAUAAAUUA
This is a long non-coding RNA of Oncorhynchus keta (chum salmon), 1558 nucleotides long. RefSeq lists it as uncharacterized. The record is from RefSeq and is a predicted model, not a curated record. Lineage: Eukaryota; Metazoa; Chordata; Actinopteri; Salmoniformes; Salmonidae. The transcript has 6 exons.